GUCCACGCCGUAAACGAUGGGCACUAGGUGUGGGGGGUGUCGACUCCCUCCGUGCCGAAGCUAACACAUUAAGUGCCCGCCUGGGGAGUACGGCCGCAAGGCUAAAACUCAAAGGAAUUGACGGGGGCCCGGCACAAGCAGCGGAGCAUGUGGUUUAAUUCGACGCAACGCGAAGAACCUUACCUGGGCUUGACAUGUGGAUGACCGGCCUGGAAACAGGUCUUCCCUUCGGGGCAUCUUCACAGGUGGUGCAUGGCUGUCGU
This 263-nucleotide ribosomal RNA is filed under the name uncultured bacterium. RNAcentral's name for it is "partial 16S ribosomal RNA". It matches the Rfam family "Bacterial small subunit ribosomal RNA", at positions 793 to 1055 of the family's 1533-position model. The record is from RNAcentral.